This 404-nucleotide ribosomal RNA is filed under the name uncultured bacterium. RNAcentral's name for it is "partial 16S ribosomal RNA". It matches the Rfam family "Bacterial small subunit ribosomal RNA", at positions 30 to 526 of the family's 1533-position model. The record is from RNAcentral.
AUUGAACGCUGGCGGCAUGCUUUACACAUGCAAGUCGACUGUGGCGGACGGGUGAGUAACGCGUAAAGAACUUGCCUCACAGUUAGGGACAACAUUUGGAAACGAAUGCUAAUACCUGAUACUGUGAGAGAGCUUUGCGUCCCAUUAGCUAGUUGGAGAGGUAACGGCUCCCCAAGGCGAUGAUGGGUAGCCGGCCUGAGAGGGUGAUCGGCCACAAGGGGAACGAGAGACGGCACUUACUCCUACGGGGGGCAGCAGUGGGGAAUAAUGGACAAUGGACCAGAGGCUGAUCCAGUUAUUCUGUGUUCACGAUGAAGUUUUCGGAAUGUAAAGUUCUUUCAGUUGGGAAGCGGUACCAACAGAAGAAGCGACGGCUAACUACGUGCCAGCAGCCGCGGUAAUUC